Molecule: ribosomal RNA, 440 nt
Filed under: uncultured diatom
Lineage: Eukaryota; Bacillariophyta
Description: bacterial SSU rRNA
Rfam family: Bacterial small subunit ribosomal RNA
Source: RNAcentral
UUUGAAAGAAGAAAGUGCCGUUUGGAACGUAUACACAGGUGGUGCAUGGCUGUCGUCAGCUGGUGUCGUGAGAUGUUGGGUUAAGUCCCGCAACGAGCUCAACCCUCAUUUUUAGUUGCCUUAUGGAACUCUAGAAAGACUGCCGGUUAUAAACCGGAGGAAGGCGGGGAUGACGUCAAGUCAGCAUGCCCCUUACACCCUGGGCUACACACGUGCUACAAUGGGCGAGACAAUGAGACGCAAAUCUGCGAAGAAUAGCUAAUCUAUAAACUCGUUCUAAGUUCGGAUUGUAGGCUGCAACUCGCCUGCAUGAAGUUGGAAUCGCUAGUAAUCGCUGGUCAGCUACACAGCGGUGAAUUCGUUCCCGGGCCUUGUACACACCGCCCGUCACACCAUGGAAGCUGGUUAUGCCCAAAGUCGUUACUCUAACCUUUUGGAGG